This 433-nucleotide ribosomal RNA is filed under the name uncultured bacterium. RNAcentral's name for it is "partial 16S ribosomal RNA". It matches the Rfam family "Bacterial small subunit ribosomal RNA", at positions 29 to 507 of the family's 1533-position model. The record is from RNAcentral.
AACGAACGCUGGCGGCAUGCCUAACACAUGCAAGUCGAACGAGACCUUCGGGUCUAGUGGCGCACGGGUGCGUAACGCGUGGGAACCUGCCCUUAGGUUCGGAAUAACUCCCCGAAAGGGGUGCUAAUACCGGAUAAUGUCUUCGGACCAAAGAUUUAUCGCCUUUGGAUGGGCCCGCGUUGGAUUAGCUAGUUGGUAGGGUAAAAGCCUACCAAGGCGACGAUCCAUAGCUGGUCUGAGAGGAUGAUCAGCCACACUGGGACUGCGACACGGCCCAGACUCCUACGGGAAGCAGCAGUGGGGAAUAUUGGACAAUGGGCGAAAGCCUGAUCCAGCAAUGCCGCGUGAGUGAUGAAGGCCUUAGGGUUGUAAAGCUCUUUUACCCGGGAUGAUAAUGACAGUACCGGGAGAAUAAGCUCCGGCUAACUCCGUG